Mesocricetus auratus (golden hamster) is the source of this 151-nucleotide small nuclear RNA. Its record names the gene U1. It matches the Rfam family "U1 spliceosomal RNA". From Rfam's summary of the family: U1 is a small nuclear RNA (snRNA) component of the spliceosome (involved in pre-mRNA splicing). Its 5' end forms complementary base pairs with the 5' splice junction, thus defining the 5' donor site of an intron. There are significant differences in sequence and secondary structure between metazoan and yeast U1 snRNAs, the latter being much longer (568 nucleotides as compared to 164 nucleotides in human). NCBI's taxonomy places the organism in Eukaryota, Metazoa, Chordata, Mammalia, Rodentia, Cricetidae. The record is from Ensembl.
AUAUUUACCUUGCAGGAGAGACCCACGUUCAUAAAGGUGGCUUCCCCAGGGCAAAGCUCAUCCAUUUCAUUCCUGGGGUGCUGACCCCAUGGUUUCCCCAGACACGCCACAAUUUGUGUUAGUGAAGGACUGAAUUGGCACUCUCCCUUCC